UACGUAGGGUGCAAGCGUUAAUCGGAAUUACUGGGCGUAAAGCGUGCGCAGGCGGUGAUGUAAGACAGUUGUGAAAUCCCCGGGCUCAACCUGGGAACUGCAUCUGUGACUGCAUUGCUGGAGUGCGGCAGAGGGGGAUGGAAUUCCGCGUGUAGCAGUGAAAUGCGUAGAUAUGCGGAGGAACACCGACGGCGAAGGCAAUCCCCUGGGCCUGCACUCGACGCUCAUGCACGAAAGCGUGGGGAGCAAACAGG
Molecule: ribosomal RNA, 254 nt
Filed under: uncultured bacterium
Lineage: Bacteria
Description: partial 16S ribosomal RNA
Rfam family: Bacterial small subunit ribosomal RNA
Source: RNAcentral